This 230-nucleotide non-coding RNA is filed under the name Anaerococcus prevotii. Its description in RNAcentral is "T-box sequence". It matches the Rfam family "T-box leader". Rfam says of the family: Uncharged tRNA acts as the effector for transcription antitermination of genes in the T-box leader family. The record is from RNAcentral. Lineage: Bacteria; Bacillati; Bacillota; Tissierellia; Tissierellales; Peptoniphilaceae.
UUAACAACUUUGAUGAGAUAAGUAGCCAAAGCAUUUGCUAUAAAGAGAGCCCUGGUUGGUGUGAAUGGGUAUUGCAAACUUUGGUGAAUAAAGACUUGGAGUUUUGUCGGGGAUAUUUGAUCUGGCGACGGGGCUUGCCCGUUAUAGCAAGAGAGUAUGAUUGUACUUAUUGAGAUGUAUAUCGCAAGGUAUACUAAAAUUAAGGUGGUAACGCGAAUUUCGCCCUUAUU